RNAcentral lists this ribosomal RNA (436 nucleotides) under uncultured bacterium. RNAcentral's name for it is "bacterial SSU rRNA". It matches the Rfam family "Bacterial small subunit ribosomal RNA", at positions 28 to 478 of the family's 1533-position model. The record is from RNAcentral.
GACGAACGCUGGCGGCACGCUUAACACAUGCAAGUCGAACGAGAGAAGAGAAGCUUGCUUUUCUGAUCUAGUGGCGGACGGGUGAGUAACACGUGAGCAAUCUGCCUUUCAGAGGGGGAUACCGAUUGGAAACGAUCGUUAAUACCGCAUAAUAUAAUUGAACCGCAUGAUUUGAUUAUCAAAGAUUUAUCGCUGAAAGAUGAGCUCGCGUCUGAUUAGCUAGUUGGUAAGGUAACGGCUUACCAAGGCGACGAUCAGUAGCCGGACUGAGAGGUUGAUCGGCCACAUUGGGACUGAGACACGGCCCAGACUCCUACGGGAGGCAGCAGUGGGGAAUAUUGCACAAUGGAGGAAACUCUGAUGCAGCGAUGCCGCGUGAGGGAAGAAGGUUUUAGGAUUGUAAACCUCUGUCUUCAGGGACGAAAAAUGACGGUAC